AAACUCAUUAUACAACUCUGUUCUCCACACCCCCUAAUUCAAGAGAUAUGUAUGUUAGUUUUGGGUUGGGGGGACCUCGGAGUAUAACUUAACCUCCAAAACAAAUAGGUUAACACCUUUAUCCAUGAGAAACACCUCUAAGAAUUACUAAACUAAUGCUUUUGAUCCGAUAAUCGAUCAAUGAACCAAGUUACCCUGGGGAUAACAGCGCAAUCUACUUCAAGAGUUCAUAUCGACAAGUGGGUUUACGACCUCGAUGUUGGAUCAGGGUAUCCUAGUGGUGCAACCGCUACUAAU
This 297-nucleotide ribosomal RNA is filed under the name Lithobates chiricahuensis. Its description in RNAcentral is "Rana chiricahuensis partial 16S ribosomal RNA". It matches the Rfam family "Bacterial large subunit ribosomal RNA", at positions 2188 to 2569 of the family's 2925-position model. Lineage: Eukaryota; Metazoa; Chordata; Amphibia; Anura; Ranidae. The record is from RNAcentral.